Chlorocebus sabaeus (green monkey) is the source of this 453-nucleotide long non-coding RNA. RefSeq lists it as uncharacterized. Lineage: Eukaryota; Metazoa; Chordata; Mammalia; Primates; Cercopithecidae. The record is from RefSeq and is a predicted model, not a curated record.
UCAAGCAAUCCCCCUGCCUUGGCCUCCCAAGGUGCUGGGAUUUCAGAGGAGUUUGAAAUUCUUGCUUCAGGCCAUAUGGAGUGGAUAUUCCUUCCAGAAGGAAAUUACAGACCACUCUCUGUUUCUACUCAACUGCUUUUCAAUCCGCAAGUGGACUCUUUGAAGCAGCCUUUUAUUUACCUCAGAUUCUGACAUGAAUAAUUGUUUAAUUGCCUUUCAGCCUACACAAGAUAAGGAACCAUGUCUCAAAAGUUGUGUAAUUCUCUUAACUAAACAAUAGCCAAGCCAUCCGGAGUAGUUUUCAAAGAAAGAAAAGAAUUCCUCACACAUGUUAAGCAUUUUAUUCUUUUCAAAGUGCAUUGCUCUGUAUUAUUUCCCUAAAUUGGAUAAUGUCUACGAAAGCACUGUGUAAAUUACAUCCCAUAACAAAAAAGUAAAAUGUUAUAACAAUGA